RNAcentral lists this transfer RNA (87 nucleotides) under Rhodospirillaceae bacterium. Its description in RNAcentral is "tRNA-Leu". It matches the Rfam family "tRNA". Rfam says of the family: Transfer RNA (tRNA) molecules are approximately 80 nucleotides in length. Lineage: Bacteria; Pseudomonadati; Pseudomonadota; Alphaproteobacteria; Rhodospirillales; Rhodospirillaceae. The record is from RNAcentral.
GCCCCUGUGGCGGAACUGGUAGACGCGCGGGAUUCAAAAUCCCGUUCCGGCAACGGAGUGUCAGUUCGAUUCUGACCGGGGGCACCA